This 33-nucleotide small RNA is filed under the name Arabidopsis thaliana (thale cress). Its description in RNAcentral is "ATSL019140". Lineage: Eukaryota; Viridiplantae; Streptophyta; Magnoliopsida; Brassicales; Brassicaceae. The record is from RNAcentral.
CAUCUUCUUCCUCUUCUUUCACGGCGAAACAGA